RNAcentral lists this ribosomal RNA (460 nucleotides) under uncultured bacterium. Its description in RNAcentral is "partial 16S ribosomal RNA". It matches the Rfam family "Bacterial small subunit ribosomal RNA", at positions 338 to 795 of the family's 1533-position model. The record is from RNAcentral.
CCUACGGGGGGCAGCAGUGAGGAAUAUUGGUCAAUGGGCGCAAGCCUGAACCAGCCAAGUCGCGUGAGGGAUGACGGUCCUAUGGAUUGUAAACCUCUUUUGUCGGGGAGCAAGGCCCGCCACGUGUGGCGGGAAGGAGAGUACCCGAAGAAAAAGCAUCGGCUAACUCCGUGCCAGCAGCCGCGGUAAUACGGAGGAGGCGAGCGUUAUCCGGAUUUAGUGGGUUUAAAGGGUGCGUAGGCGGAAGGUUAAGUCAGCGGUCAAAUGUCGGUGCUCAACCCCGGCCCGACGUUGAAACUGGCAGUCUCGAGUUGGAGAGAAGUAUGCGGAAUGCGCGGUGUAGCGGUGAAAUGCAUAGAUAUCGCGCAGAACUCCGAUUGCGAAGGCAGCAUGCCGGCUCCACACUGACGCUGAGGCACGAAAGCGUGGGUAGCGAACAGGAUUAGAUACCCCGGUAGUC